This 11213-nucleotide long non-coding RNA is filed under the name Populus tremula. Its description in RNAcentral is "long non-coding RNA (PTRE_LNC002725)". The record is from RNAcentral. Lineage: Eukaryota; Viridiplantae; Streptophyta; Magnoliopsida; Malpighiales; Salicaceae.
UGGGUGGCCCAUCGUACGCGGUGAAGCUUGGAAGAAGAGAUUCAACUACAGCAAGUCGAACUUUAGCCAACGCAGAGUUACCUGCCUUCUUUGAAAGCCUGGAGAGUCUUAUUUCUCGCUUCCAAAACAAAGGCCUUACUGCAAGGGACAUGGUUGCCUUGUCAGGUUCGCAUACUCUUGGGCAAGCUCAAUGCUUCACUUUCCGUGAAAGGAUAUACAAUCACAGCAAUAUCGUUGCCGGAUUCGCUAGCACCCGCAGGAGGCGUUGUCCACGUGUUGGCAGCGACUCAACCUUAGCCCCGCUCAAAAUAAUGGAAAUAUUAUUGCAUCAAUUAUUUACGUAUUUAUUGAAAAUGGUGGAAUAGAUGCUUUAUCCGUCGAAAAACACAUCCAAAACUAAAUUAUCAGACACGCUCUAACGUGAUACAGUUAUGUAAGCCAUCAAUUUUGAUUUAAAACUAGUUGUUCAAAUGGAAAGAGGGCAGUGCAGGACACAGUUACCCUUACUCUAUAUUUGUCCUUUUGUUCGUUUCCUGUGUCUUUCUUUUUUCUUCUAUGCAACAAGAUGAUCUAAGGUAUGACCUUAAGACAGGAAGCAAGGAAUUUCUAUUCUCUUUUCCAGCAAUAUUUUGUAUUUAUUUAGAACACAGAAAGUAUGGGCUGUGUCAUCUCCCUUAUCCCUUUCUUCUUUGGUGGAACAACUUGUGGACUCUACUGUUAUGUGUGGAUCAUGCAGGGAUGGAUCCAGACUUAGCAAAGUGGGAGGUAAAAUCGUAGGCAUAAUUGUUUUUUUGAGUUUGGGGAUUCUUUAAAAAUACUCUAUUUUGAGUUUGUUGUUACCAGUCUAGGAGUCAUUUUGGAAACUACUCAAAUUUUGGUGGGUUAGGCCAUCUCUUGGCAUACUUGUAGGGGUAAACUAAAAACAUCUAAGAUUUAAAAUUUUACCCGACUGAAUUUCUAAUUAAAUCAUGUUAUACAUGUUGCAGUUGACUCAAGUAAAUUUUUAAUUAUUUCAUCGACCUAGUCUAAAUCUAUCAAAUUAACAAGAAAGAUUUUUUUUAAAAAAAAUAUUAUUUUAAUAAAACAAAAAAUUGAUUUGAAGUCGUCCGAUAACCUUUACCAAAUGACCCAUGUGAAUUAUUGGAUUGAGUCUAACAACUGUCAUCCUGGCCACCCUCUAAAUUCAUGUACGGUUUAAAAGGGUGGUGAUAGACACUACUACCCCCAACAUGCAAUCAACUCUUCUUGCAUCUUGACGUUGGUUGACCUUUAUAGACAGGUUUUUUUUUUUUAAAAAAAAACAAAUAUUACGAAUCAAGAAAAUUGCCCCGGUGAAUAAAACCCUGACACGCUAAUAAAAGAAUAAAACAAAUGACCACAAAAAAAAUGAACAAACCACAUCUGAGUCCAACCCUGAUAAUACCCAUAGAUUAGUCAAUGAACACAUAACUUCAUUUCUUUUUUUUAGUUACUCACCAAUGUCGAAGCCCUUCCCACAAACUUUGGCUCAAUAGAUCUUGGCAUCACCAGUAGUUUCUCUGAUCGAUUCUUACCCCACAUUGUUCACAGAUUCUAACAUGACGACAACAAACAUUUCCCCAUCUUCAAUUGUUGUUGAAGUCCUCAGAGGUGAUAACUAUGAUGAUUGGAGUGCCUGCAUGAAAAGCUACAUGUUAGCUCAAGACCUUGGGGAUUUUAUUGAGCCUGCUGUUCUUCAAGAUGUUGACUAUAAGACUUUGAGAAGAAAGAAUGCAGCAGCUUUACAUGCAAUUCAAAUUUCUUGUGCACCAAACAUACUUUCCAAGAUUAGGAGCAUCACUUCAGCCAAAGAUGCCUGGGAUAAUUUGCACCGACAACAUUCACCAAGCCACAAAGAGCAAUCUGUUGAAGCAAAGUCACAAGGCCGUUCAGGUAUACCAUGACCUCAUUCUCUUCCUUUGUUAGAUUUCCAACCACUUCGAUCUCUUGAUGUUAACACGGGAGAGAAUAAAAACCUUGGCAGGACCGGUGAGCAAUGAAAUGAAUGGUCCCUUGCUAACGCUGUACAAGUAUGCCUAUAAUGGAAACUGGGAUGCCAUAAAAACCCAUCUUAGCCAAUACCCAAAUGCAAGAAAGGCCAAGCUUAAACCCUAUGGUGGAACAGUCCUUCAUGUAGCAGCUUUUUCUGGACAUGUGAGGGUUGUGGAGGAGUUAGUGAAGUUGAUGUCAGUAGAAGAAUUGGAAAUACAAGAUAAUCAAGGCAACACAGCUCUUUUUAUUGCUGCCAUUGUUGGAAUAAGAAAGAUGGCAGAAUGUUUGGUGAGAAAGAACGAACACUUGGUUACCUCUGAAAAUGCACAAAAAAAGAUCCCGCUGGUUCAGGCAUGUAUAAGCAACUGUAAGGAUAUGGCUCUUUAUCUAUACUCUGUCACUCCAUUUGAAUUUCUUUGUCAACGCAAUAGCCACCAUGGAUCUUAUUUCCUAAAAUGGGCUAUUGGUGCUCAAAUGCUCGGUAAGAGACUUUACCCCUUAAUUACUUAUUUUCUCUUAUUUUCUUCUUUUUCUUCAUGCUUUUUGCAUAAAUUAAUUUUCUCUUCCGAGUAAAUUAUUAUUUAUUUCCUGUAAUUUAAUAAAAAUAAUUCAUUAAUUUUUUUUUAAGAAAUAUAUGAAUAAUCCUUUUGUUUUUAACUUCAAAUCAUUUUGUCAGUUUCAUGUGAUUUUUUAAUUAAUUAUUUCUUCUUCUUCUUUUUAAAUAAUAGAAAAGGGAAGGAAAAUCAGGUAAGAUGGGAAAUUAAUGCAAUACUAAAUUGAUACGAAACAAAAUGACUUGUAAUUUAUUAACAUUUCAAAACACUAAAAUUAACUUCAAUCAUUUGUUUUUAACUUCUUCUUAUGCUGUUUCUUUUUGCUAUUGCAAUACCAGAAAUUGCUUUUGAUUUUCUACAUCGCUGCCCAAAUUUGGUUCUGAAGUCGAACGCUUUGAUUUAUUUGUCUGACAUGCCUCAUUUAUUCCCAAGCGCAAGUCGACUUACAUUUUGGCAGCAAUGGAUCUAUUCAUGUUAGUAUCUCUUCCUUCGAUUUUUCCUCUUCCCAUUUCUCUUCAAUAUUUCCUCUGCCAAUCUUUUUUACGUAUAAUGUUCUGUAUGUUUUUGGAGAUCAUCACUCCGUUACAAAGAAAGAAAAGCAAAGGUUCUAUAUGAUAUAAUUUUUGUAAAUUUAUACGAGUUAUUUUUUAAUUUUUGACCCAUAGAAAAAUUGUAAAUAUAUUUAGUUAGAAAUGAUUUUUGGUUUAAAUCAAAAUUUAACAAAAACUGAAUCAAAAUUUUAAUGUCAUCUAAAGUUUAGGAAAAAAUUAAACUUUAAUUUAUGAAUUUCAACUUAUAAUAAAGAAUUACUUUAAAUUAUUUUUAUCAAACAUAUUUCUAAAAUAAAGUUUUUUGAACUUAUUCAUGUUAAAAAAUCAAUUUUUUCAUAAGUCAUGUUAGGUAAACUUGAAGUUAUAUUCACUAAGAUUGACUUGAUUCUAAAAUCAUGGCAGGUAUUCCCAUGCAAUCAAUUGCUACAACUGAUGACAAUGUUCUUAUUAAUAUGCCUGAUCAAAGCCUAAGUGAGUCCAAGAACAUUAUCCUCCAAGGUAUUUGCACAAAUCUCUCUCUGUUUUUGUUCAUGGCAAGCACAGGAGACAUGUAUAGAAGUCCAAUUGGACGGUUUCUUGAUAUAUUUAUUUCUAUUUUCCAAAAAUAUAAACUUUAAUUGCUGGGUUUCAACUUAUAAUAUAUCUAUUCUUCAAAAGAAUUACUUUAAAUUAUUUUUAUCAAACAUAUUUCUAAAAUAAAGUUAUUUGAACUUAUUUUUAUAUAUAAAUGAUCUAUAUAAAAAAACAACUUUUAAAAUUAUGAUUCAUGUUAAAAAAUCAUUUUUUUCACAAGUUAUGAUAGGCAAACUUGAAGUUAUAUUCACUAAGAUUGACUUGAUUCUAAAAUCAUGGCAGGUAUUCCCAUGCAAUCAAUUGCUACAACUGAUGACAAUGUUCGUAUUAAUAUUCCUGAUCAAAGCCCAAGUGAGUCGAAGAACAUUAUCCUCCAAGGUAUUUGCACAAAUCUCUCUGUUUUUGUUCCCUCUCCUUUAAUGUAAGGUAGGGCAAGCACAGGACAUAUGUAUAGGAGUCCAAUUGGGCUGCAUGGCCCUUCAAGAUUGUAAAAAUUUUGGACAGUUUUUUGAUAUAUUUAUUUCUAUUUUCCAAAAAUAUAAACUUUUUAGAACCCUAAUCCUAGUAUCCGAUCCUUUAUUCAAUCCCAGAUAUUGCUCUUGUUUAAAUUCAUAGUUAAUUUAAUACAAUUUAAUCAAAUCAUAAUUCAGUGUAAUAUUUCAUCAAUUUUUAGAGAGAAAGGGGCUGUAACUGCAGGGAAAAAAAUCAUGGCAGGUAUUUCCAUGCAAUCAAUUGCUACAACUGAUGACAACGUUCGUAUUAAUAUGCCUGAUCAAAGCCUAAGUGAGUCGAAGAACAUUAUCUUCCAAGGUAUUUGCACAAAUCUCUCUGUUUUUGUUCCCUCUCCUUUAAAGGGGUAGGGCAAGCACAGGACAUAUGUAUACAAGUCCAAUUGGGCUUGAUAUAUUUAUUUCUAUUUUCCAAAAAUAUAAACUUUUUUGUUUAUAUAUGCUGCUUGUGAUAAUUUCUCUAAUUUGUUUUUGUCCAACUUUUCAGUGUCAAGCAAAUUGCGUGGGUUUGCAAUAAAUCUCCUCGCUUUCAUAGGUAAGCAAAAUAUAUCUGACAUCUCUUGAUUUCUGUCAUCAUUAUCAUGGUUUUAUUUGAUCACUCUUUAAUGGUUGAUCUAGGAAUCAAGCAAAUAUAUCUAUUCUUUAUAAGAAUUACUUUAAAUUACUUUUAUCAAACAUAUUUCUAAAAUAAAGUUAUUUGGACCUUUUUUUUAUAUAAAUGAUAUAUAAAAAAACUACCUUUUAAAUUAUGAUUCUGUUAAAAAAUCAAUUUUUUCAUAAGUUACGUUCUCUAAGAUUGACUUGAUUCUAAAAUCAUGGCAGGUAUUCCCAUGAAAUCAAUUACUACAACUGAUGACAAUGUUCGUAUUGAUAUGCCUGAUCAAAGCCUAAGUGAGUCGAAGAACAUUAUCUUCCAAGGUAUUUGAACAAAUCUCUCUGUUUUUGUUCCCUCUCCUUUAAAGGGGUAGGGCAAGCACAGGAUAUAUGCUGCUUGUGAUAAUUUCUCUAAUUUGUUUCUGUCCAACUUUUCAGUGUCAAGCAAAUUGCGUGGGUUUGCAACAAAUCUCCUCGCAUUCUUAGGUAAGCAAAAUAUAUCUGACAUCUCUUGAUUUCUAUCAUCAAUAUCAUGGUUUUAUGUGAUCACUCUUUAAUGGUUGAUCCAGGAAUCAAGCAAAUAUACGAUUUGAAGAAGAUCCACUUUUAUUCAGAUAAAAUUCUACAGUGUAUGUGUAAGCAUAUAUCGACUCUGGAUUUUGAGGAAUACGACAAGGCAGAUGUACAUGGAGCAUUCCACAAUGCUGUAAAGAAUGGCAUGGUUGAGUUUAUUAUUGAGGUGAUAAAAGCUCGUCCUCAUUUAAUGGUUAGUGUAGAUCACAAGUCAAGGAACCUAUUUAUGUCCUCGAUUGCAAACCGGCAAGAAAAAGUGUUCAGCCUUUUCUAUGGACUGGAAGUAGAAAGAGCACUAUUUGUUUCCCUCGUUGAUAUCUCUGAAAAUACAAUGCUACAUUUGGCAGCAAAACUAUCAGCUCCUUCUCAACUAGCUCGGAUCUCUGGUGCAGCUCUCCAGAUGCAAAGAGAACUACAAUGGUACAAGGUGAGCUUUCUACACUCAACAUCUUUAAAAAACUGAUUGCACCUUGAUCAAAUAUAUUUUAGAGCUGAUUAAGACCUAAUUGAUUUGAUUUUAGGGUACCCAUUUACUCAUUUUCAUUGUUAUCCAAAAAGAAAUAAUUUCACUCGAAUUCAAAAAUCUUGAUGCAGGAAGUGGAAAGCAUUACGCAUCCUAUACGUGAGGAUUAUCGUAACAAGGACUAUCAGACAGCCAGGGAAUUAUUCACGUCUGACCAUAAGGACUUGGUAGUGAAAGGAGAGCAAUGGAUGAAAGAAGCAGCAACUUCUUGUACAGUUGUGGGUGCUCUCAUCAUUACAAUUAUGUUUACUGUGGCAUUCACUGUUCCCGGCGGCAACGUUCAAGAGACCGGCUAUCCGGUUUUUAAAGAUGAGAAAUCUUUUACAGUUUUUAUAGUAGCGGAUGCAGUCUCUCUCUUUUCUUCAUCAACAUCGGUGUUGAUGUUCUUAGGGAUUCUUACGUCGCGAUACGCAGAGGAAGAUUUCCUUAAAUCCUUGCCCAAGAAGUUAAUCAUCGGCCUUUCCAUGCUUUUCUUCUCUAUUGCAGCCAUGAUGGUAACCUUCUGUGCUGCUCUUAUAAUCAUGUUGGAUGGGAGAUUGCAACUUAUAAUUCCAAUUGUACUGCUUGCCUCUAUCCCUGUAACUCUUUUCAUGAGGCUGCAAUUUCCCCUGCUAGUGGAGAUUUUUGUAUCCACCUAUGGACCAGGAAUCUUCAAAAGAAAAAUGAAACCCUGGUAUCUUGAUCAAUCUGUUUAGAAAUUCCUAUUUCCCCGGGACUAGUUGUUUUAUGUUCCUCUUAGUAUGUUUAGAGCAUGUAUAGCGCGGUGGUUGUUAUUUUGAUUGCUGAAUCUCUUUGUAAAAGGCUAUAUAAGCCUGCUGUUUGUGAUGAAUAAACAAGAGACUUCUCAUUCAAGACUGUGUGCUGCUGUAGUUUCUUCUGAGUCUUUUUCUACAAAUGGAAGGUUAACCAAUUCCCUUCAUGUGCAUGCUUAUUAAUUUCAGGCCAUUGAGUAUAUUCGUACUGAAUGAGUCCUGCCAAAUUAAGUCAAGCUAUCAUUUUAAGAGAAGAAACAGCGUGCGUUGACAUGAUUUUGAUUAAAAUUAUCUCAAGUGCCAGUUUUAGUUAUGUUUCAAAAGAAAUUGAAAGGGCUAAAGGCGUUUGGAGGCUCAACAACAGGCGCAGCAGCAUUGGUGUCUGCGAGAACAGCUUCUUGAUCACCAGAAGCCUUAAAGGCACUUGGGACACAUGCAUGAUGUCUUUGCUUUUUUACAGUUUUCUUAAUAAAAACUGCUCUCUUGUUUUAUCAAAAAAAACUUCGAUUUUGAUCAAAAAAGAGGUGCAGAGUGCACCUCUUCUAAUAAUAAACAAAGACCUCUUACUAGACGAGACUCCCUCUAUCCAGAGUGAAAAGACUGCCCUCGGCAAUAAAGUAAGACUCUAAGCCUAUUGAUCAUCAAGAAGGUGACUCUAAGGCAUUGAGAAAAAAGAAUGCUACAGCUUUACAUGCAAUUCAAGUUUCUUGUGCGCCACACAUGCUUUCCAAGAUUAGGAGCACCACUUCAGCCAAAGUUGCCUGGGAUACUCUAGCCAAUUUGCAGCAGCAACAUUCACCAAGCCACAAAGAGCAAACUGUUGAAGCAGAGCCGGCAGAAGAUGAUGAGUCACAAGGCCGUUCAGGUAUCUCAUUCUCUUCCUUUGUUAGAUUUACAAUCACUUCGAUCUCUUCCUUUGAAAUAUUCGUGAGUAAAACCAGAUUGAUACUAACAAGAAAAAAAAUGUUCUCUACAUCUACACACACACUCCCAUCCUUCACACUUCCACAUCUGCUAGCUGUUCAAAUGCAGAAACAAGGUUCACUUCAUCCACUUCUUUUUAGCUCUUUUCUGCUCCUCUUAUAUAAUUUUAAUAUAUAUUUUUUCAAUGUAUUUAGGAAUAAUUCUCUCACAGAAGGUAAUGCAAUAUUGGAAGGAUCACAUCAUGGACACCAUCGCAAUGGCUCAGCCAAGCUUUUUGCAUUUUGGGGUUUCCUAAACUGGCUAUGACUGCUCGGUUGGUACUGCAUAUGCAGCUCAUUAUGCUAUCCAGCCUUAAGUUCGAUCAGUUUAUGCCACCGCUAUUAAACCUGGUUUAAUUUGAUAGGUUAAUUUGAGAUUUAACUUAUUUAUUUUUACAUGGACUAGAUUUAAAAAAUAAUAAUUUGAUAUUAAUUUGGUUUGAUCUAGCAAAAAACCCGUGAUCUAAUCAAAACUUUAUUUAAUAUUUUAAAAUUAAAAUGAUAUUUUUUUAAUUAAUGUUGAUGUUGAUUAACCAUUCAAGUCGUGAAUUAGAUCAUAAGCCAGGUCAAGUUUAAUAACUUAUUGCUAUGCAACAUAUUAUGCCUAUCCUGCCAGAAGACAGAUUAGUUUAAGCAACAUAUAAUGCAUAUCCUUACGAAUUAGUCUGAGCAUCCAUGAAGGCUAUCCGGCCUUGAGUUGAAUUCGUUUAUGCAGCCCAUUAUGCCUGAUGAAAAUGUUAAAACUUGGGUGUAAUUGUUUUUGAAAAAAUUAUUUAUUAACAUGAAAAGGAGAAGGAGAAACAAGUAGAUUCACACAAAAUCAAUGGGCAUGAGCACAGUGUGAGUUCAUAAUUCAGGAGAAGCUGCUGCUUCUGCUUUUGCUGCCAUUUCUUUGAGUCGUCUAAUUAAGUGCAAGACUAACUUUUACUCUCACAAAAUUAAUCUAUAGCUUUUGCAAAUGAAUCCAGUUGAUUAACACAAGCUGUUAUCAAAUAUAGAAUAGAGAGAAAAGGGAUAGAAGAUGAAGAAUAAUGCAUGGGAGCUCCUCCUUUUAUAGAAGGAUGAUGAAGCACACUCGUAACGCGUUCGAUUUUCUUAUGACUGCAUGCCAUCAUUAGGUAACUCCUCUUUGUUCUUACCAAUUCAACUAGAGAAUUAUUCUAUCCUUCAAUUCGCUAUUAAAAAAUCCCUUUUUUCUGCACCCAACGCUGCCUUUUCUGGCGGUGAAUAUAAUAUGGGACGACGAUGUGCUACAUGGAAACAUCCUUGUUUUCCAGUACGUUGGUCAAGUGUCUUAUUCAGUCCUUCAUGAGGGAUAUGCGUUGAUUUUGUACGGACAACACAUACUUUUUCAAUCAUGAGACAAUUAGAAAAUUUCAAAGACAAGCAUUGACGAAUUCUAUAGGGAUAAUUAUCCAAAGAGAUGAUUACCCAUACAAUUUUCAGAAAGAUUUAUUUGUGAGAGCUCACUGGUUUCGUGGUGGUAAGAAGACAAAUUCUUUAUUUUCUUAAAGAAAAUAUGAUUUUAUCUAUGAUGAUAAAAUAAAGUAGAAUUAUUCUACAACCACCUUGCAGACGUAAAUUCUUUACUCUUACAUGUCAUUUGGUAUUAUGAAAUUAUAAAGACGUGACCGAAAUAAGUUUUUAAAACAAACAGGAGUGAUACAUAUUGUUAAAACAAUUGAUUGUAUUUUUUGUUAUAAAAAAUAGCAUUGUUUUAAAAGUCAAUCAUUUCUGACCCGAGAUUCAAGUGAUUCUACACCUUAUCUAGGAUGAUUUCCAACAAAUAUAAAAAGUUAAUUGAUCCAAUACAAUCUCGUUAAAAAAUUAAAAAUAGUAGUUCUAAAAACAAAUAAUUGAUUAAAUGUGGAGGCUGAGAAUGAUUCAAAAUCAAAUUAUAUAAGUUUUCAACCAAGCAUUAAUUUCCAUAGUCCAUAUUUUUCAAAUACGUCGAAAGAGGAUACUAACUAACCAGCUGUAAUAUCAGGCCAAAUUAAUUACUCUAUAAUUUAUCGAUUUCAAGUGACAAGUUUUCCUUUCUGGACUGCAUGGUGGCAUUUUAAAUAAUGGAUUUCUAUAAUCUUUUCUGUUAAAAAAACAAAGAAGAUACGCAUCAACAAUGAACGAGCAAAAUGUGUAGGAUUUUAGUUGAGUGGAAGUCAAAGAGAUGUGAAUUAAGAGGGGGGGGGGGGGGGAGUCAAAAAGUGUACGAUUCCUCGAUUGUAUUAUUUAAUUUCAACUUUAAUAAUAAAAUAAUUAUACUAUUGAUAUAUUUUUUGAUGGACAAACGGACAAUUCCUGAUUCUGUCUACCGAUAUAUUUUUUAGUAAAAGACCGCAGCUAUGAGCAACUACUUGCACUAAAAAUACCAAAGCAGCCUCAUUAGAUUACUAUUUCAUAGGAUUUCAUGCAGAUAAAAUAAUUAAUUAAUGGGUCAGGACAAGAAGUGUAAAAAAAUAUAUUAAUGAAUGGCAUGCAGGCAUCAAAUUAGAAAAGUUUCUACGCGUUAUGGCCUUAUAGUUUCUUACCUAGACAAAUCUUGAUUAAUGUGCUUGAUCAGCCUCUAUAAAUAGAUAAGCUCCCAGCAUUCCUCUCCAUCUUCUAUCUCAAUUAUCCAACAGCUUUGUUAACAGCACUUGCAGACUUAGCUAUACAUUUAGCGCGCUAAAAACUAGUUUCUCCAACUGAAAACAUAUAAAAUGGCAGCAAAAGCAGGAGCAGCAGCUUCUUUCAUGUUCAUGCUGUUCUUGCUGAACACAGCAUGCCCAGGCACAACUCUCCCCUGCAUUUUACGACAGCUCCUGUCCUAACGCGCUUAGCGCGAUCCGAACUGCUAUCAGAAGUGCAAUUGCAAGCGACAGGAGAAUGGCUGCGUCUCUCAUCCGCUUACACUUUCACGAUUGCUUUGUCCAGGUACUUUUGCAACUACUUUUGGCAGCCACAUUGCUCCUCUCUGAUUAUGUAUAUUAUCUUGGAGCCAGUGUACUUAUGAGUUGUUCCUUGGUUUUGCAGGGUUGUGAUGCUCGAUCUUACUGGACGAGACUCCUCUAUCCAGAGUGAAAAGACUGCCUCGGCAAUCUUAACUCUGCUAGAGGUUAUAAUGUAAUAGACAAAGCAAAAACUGAAGUUGAGAAGAUCUGUCCGGAGUAGUAUCUUGUGCAGAUAUCAUUGUUGUUGCAGCGAGAGAUGCGUCUGCUUAUGUGAGUAUAUCUAAAUCCAUCUCUUUAUUGCUGUUGGUAUUGCAAGCUGCAAAACCAGGACUUGUUGUUUAUGAUUCUUAUGGAAAAAAUGUCACAGGUGGGUGGCCCAUCCUACCCGGUGAAGCUUGGAAGGAGAGAUUCAACUACAGCAAGUCGAAGUUUAGCCAACGCAGAGUUACCUGCCUUCUUUGAAAGCCUGGAGAGUCUUAUUUCUCGCUUCCAAAAGAAAGGCCUUACUGCAAGGGACAUGGUUGCCUUGUCAGGUUCGCAUACUCUCGGCCAAGCUCAAUGCUUCACUUUCCGUGAAAGGAUAUACAAUCACAGCAAUAUCGAUGCCGGAUUCGCUAGCACCCGCAGGAGGCGCUGUCCACGUGUUGGCAGCGACUCAACCUGAGCCCCGCUCGAUUUGGUC